UUAGCUGUCACUUAUAGAUGGGCCCGCGGCGCAUUAGCUAGUUGGUGAGGUAAUGGCUCACCAAGGCGACGAUGCGUAGCCGACCUGAGAGGGUGAUCGGCCACACUGGGACUGAGACACGGCCCAGACUCCUACGGGAGGCAGCAGUAGGGAAUCUUCCGCAAUGGACGAAAGUCUGACGGAGCAACGCCGCGUGAACGAAGAAGGCCUUCGGGUCGUAAAGUUCUGUUGUUAGGGAAGAACAAGUACCAGAG
RNAcentral lists this ribosomal RNA (254 nucleotides) under Bacillus sp. (in: firmicutes). Its description in RNAcentral is "Bacillus sp. (in: Bacteria) partial 16S ribosomal RNA". It matches the Rfam family "Bacterial small subunit ribosomal RNA", at positions 208 to 461 of the family's 1533-position model. Lineage: Bacteria; Bacillati; Bacillota; Bacilli; Caryophanales; Bacillaceae. The record is from RNAcentral.